GCGCACUGGUCACUGCGGGGGCGAGCACGUCAGUCGGGCGCGCUCCCGGCGCCCCGCGCAGCCCCGCCCCCUCGCGCAGCCCCGCGCGCACCGUUAAGAAAAAAGUAGAGCCGCGCCACUGGGCGCUGGUCGUGCAGGAUGGAGCAAGAGAAGGUCCCGCUGUGCGUGGGCUGCACCGGCCGGAUCCGCGCCAGGCCCCGCCUCUCACCUGGGCAGUCCAGCGGGAAGUUGCAGGCCUUGGAGUAGCACCCGUAGCAGAGGAAACGCCGGGCGACAUCCUGGAACCCUGUGGGACCGAAGCGUGCACCUGGGCUCCGUCUGCGUUCCCCAGCCAGGGUCCCUUUGGCCAACUUAAGGUCUGUUAAGCCUCCGGGCUCUAUCGGCCAGACAGGCCCUGGGCGCCGCCUUCCCUGCGCUCACUGGCUGACUCGCCACACUCUCUGGCCUCUAGGACUCCUAUUGGCUUGUUUUUGCUUUCAGGCCCGCCUUAUAUGAGGUUUGUGAGCAAUACCUGGUUUUAUUACUUUUCUCCAGGGCUCUUAUUGGCCUCCUUCGGACCCGACGCCCACCCAGGUUUCGAUCCCGACCACCUCCCUGCCCCCUCAAUUCUGAGCUUUGAAUGAGGUGCUUACCGCAGGGAGGGACGCAGGCCUGGGCUGUGGAGAGAGAGACAUAACUACCUUGGAGGGCCUGGAAGUGUCCAUCUGGAGCUCCCAUAGGCGAUGUUACUGGGCCAGAUGCUUUCCUCCUACGGGGCGGGGCCAGGCCUGCCGCGGCCCACCUAGGGGGCGGAGCCAGGCCUGCCGCGGGCGAUCCAGGGGCGAGGCCUGAUCUGCCACCGCCCACCUAGGGGGCGGGGCCAGGCCUGCUGCAUUCCAGUAACGUCAGGCCCAGGCAUGCUGUUUCUAAGGGCGCUGGGCGGACCCCAGUGUGUUCCACUGAGGGAGCGGGGCUAGACCCCCGGGCGAUUGUUUUAGGGACAGGGCCUAACUAGCGGGCUCAGAGUAGAGGUGUUGGCUAGGCUAGAAUUCCCCCACUGAGGGGGUCCACUUGGAAAGGAAAUGUCAGAGUGCGCCGACAGAUCCAGGGAGAGGCCCAGGCCAAUCUGGGACGGAACCAUCCCAAGAAGGGGUCCUAGCUGGAGAGGAAACCUUCCACCGAAGCGGGGACCACAUCCAGAGUGGUCCUGGCAGGGGGAGAGGCUGUGUCAGGAGUGACCCACCGAGGGCAGCGGCUCAGAGGGACUGGGCAGAAGGGAGAGGAUGGCUGGCUCAGGAAUUUUCUAAUUGUGUGUGUUGCGCCUAAGGGAAGGAACUGGAGCCUCUUUUACCUCCUUUAAGCUUCAUAAUGACCUUCCGCAUUUUCUCGGCAGCAUCAGGGAAAGCAACGUUAAAGGAGCCUGGGGAAUGGAGGGGGGGCCUUGUAGAAAAGACCCUUCCCUUCCUCAGCCCCUCCCCGUCCCUACGUGUCUAGUAUAUACUGCACCCCCUCUUCUCACCUCCUCCCACCCUGUCUACCUGGAAGCCUGACGACUCCCCAGAUGUCCUUCCAUCUGCCCCAGGACUAUCUCUCCAAUGGAACCCCUCUGCAUCCUGUGUUAUCUUAUUGAGGGGGAAGGGGAAGAUAAAGAUCAAAUUCCUCACCAAGUCCUAUUACCCCUACAUGGUCUGGCUAGUUUCCUCUGGCUCUCUAUUCCAUCGUGCCCACCUAUCAUUUCCCCUAGUGUGAAAACAACCAUAUUCUCUAGCACCUCAGGGCCUUUGCACAUGCUGGCUUCUGUUUCUAACACGUCUUUCCCCCUACUCCUGCCCAUCCUUCAUCUCCGACCUCAUGUCGUCUCCUGCGAGGUUUUCCCUGACCACAGAUCUAAUCCAGUUCCCUAUUUUUGUCUCCCGAAGUGUUCCAUUCAUUCCAUUUAGAGUUCUCAGUUUAGAAUGUGUAUUUAUAUAAUUUAUUUUAAAAAUUGUAAUGUUUAUUUUUGAGAUAGAGAGCACAAGCAGGGAAGGGGCAGAGAGGGAGACACAGAAUCUGAAGCAGGCUCCAGGCUUCGAGCUGUCAGCACAGAGCCCGACGUGGGGCUCGGGAAAUCACAAACCCCGAGACCAUGACCUAAGCUGAAAUCGGACACUUAACCGACUGAGCCACCCAGGUGCCCCCUUACAUAAUUUAUAUAUACAGCAAUCAUGUAAGUGUGUACACUGUUAAGUUCGUAAACACGUUGUUCUUCGUUCUUCAGUGCCGUAUCCCCAGAACCCAGGGGAGGGCCCUGAGUCUUAGUAAGUAUGUGUAGAAUGAAUUCCAGGAUCCAGCUGGAAUGGCGACCACAACCGGUGGCCUGUGGCUCCAGUCCAUCUCUUGCAUGUGUUAUAUUUGGACUGGAAUUUAUUUUUAAAAAUUAACCAGUUGCCAGCAUGUAAAAUUUGGGAAAGUCACAUAAAACGUUUGGCAUUUCUUUUAAAACAUUUGGAAGAGGGGCAACACAGAGGCUGUGUUUUUGUGAGGGGGCUAGUAACUACAGCUUAGGGGCGGCUACCUGCUCUACACAGGGCAUGCACCUGACCCUCCUCUGUGGUCUCCAGUCUCUGUUCGUUCCUACCCCCCUUUUACGCUUUCUUUCUCCGUCCUUGUGGGUGGGUGUUGGCAGUUUUGACCCUUGCAGGGGCCUCCCAACUGUAAGGUUUUGUGGCUUUUCCCAAAGUGAACGGCUGGAUGGUGGAUUGGCGAUUGGUGGAGAUGGCUUUGGAAAUUAGAAAUGUGGCAGGUGUUAUGGACUGAAUUGUAUGCAGUCUUCCCAAAUUCGUAUGCGGAAGUCCUAACCCCGAGUACCUCGGACUGUGACUGUACUUGGAGGUACAGCCUUGAAGAGGUCAUUAAGUUAAAAUUAUGUCAUCAGGGUGGACCCUGAUCCAGCAUGACUGAUGGCAUUGUAAGAGGAGGAAAGCUAGACACAGACACACAAAGGGAAGAGCGUGUGAAGACACAGCAAAAGAGAAGAUGGUCAUCUACAAGCCAAAGAGAGAGGCCUCAGAAGGACCCAGCCCUGCUCACCCUGAUGCCUUGAUCUUGGACUUCUAGCCUCCAGAAUUGUGAACAAAUACCUUUCGGUUGUUUAAGCAACUCAGUUUACGGCACUUUGUUAUAGCAACCCCAGCAAGCUAACACACAGGGAUUGCUAGUUGCCUCCAAAUAUCUCUUUAGUAACAUCACACUGCAUUUCAGCUGGGAAAGCACCCCCGGCCCCGCCAACCACCCAGCUAAAAGGCUAGAUUUCUCAACAGCCCUUGCAGCUUGUAGCUGCAGUCAUGUGACCCAGUUGUGGUCAUAUAACCAAGUUCAUAGGACAUAGUCUUAAAAGAGACAUAGCACAUUUUAUCAAUCCUUCCCCUUUCUCCAUUUUGCUGCCUGAAGCUUGGAUGGAUGGCCGGAGCUCUAGCAGUCAUGCAGAACCACGAAGAUAAGGGCUCCACCCUAGGAUGGUAAAGCAGGCAGCCGGAAGGGGUUUGGGUCCCCAAGAAGAUGAAAUGGUGCUGCCGUACUGAAGUGCCUACCUCAAGACUUCUUUUACACGGGAGAAAUAAACUUCCAGCUUGCUUAA
This is a long non-coding RNA of Acinonyx jubatus (cheetah), 3595 nucleotides long. RefSeq lists it as uncharacterized. NCBI's taxonomy places the organism in Eukaryota, Metazoa, Chordata, Mammalia, Carnivora, Felidae. The record is from RefSeq and is a predicted model, not a curated record. The transcript has 2 exons.